This 269-nucleotide ribosomal RNA is filed under the name uncultured prokaryote. RNAcentral's name for it is "partial 16S ribosomal RNA". It matches the Rfam family "Bacterial small subunit ribosomal RNA", at positions 524 to 792 of the family's 1533-position model. The record is from RNAcentral.
UACGGAGGGUGCAAGCGUUAUCCGGAAUCACUGGGCGUAAAGGGCGCGUAGGUGGUCUGUUAAGUCUGGCGUUAAAGCCUGGGGCUCAACCCCAGAUCAGCGCUGGAUACUGGCAGGCUAGACGGUUGGAGAGGCGAGUGGAAUUACCAGUGUAGCGGUGGAAUGCGUAGAUACUGGUAGGAACACCCAUUGCGAAGGCAGCUCGCUGGACAACACGUGACGCUGAGGCGCGAAAGUGUGGGGAGCAAACCGGAUUAGAUACCCCCGUA